AAUUGACCUCGGAUCAGGUAGGGAUACCCGCUGAACUUAAGCAUAUCAAUAAGCGGAGGAAAAGAAACCAACAGGGAUUGCCUCAGUAACGGCGAGUGAAGCGGCAACAGCUCAAAUUUGAAAUCUGGCUCCUUCGGGGUCCGAGUUGUAAUUUGUAGAAGAUGUUUCGGGUGAGGCGCCGGUCUAAGUCCCUUGGAACAGGGCGUCAUAGAGGGUGAGAAUCCCGUAUGUGACCGGUGACCGAGUCCAUGUGAAACUCCUUCGACGAGUCGAGUUGUUUGGGAAUGCAGCUCAAAAUGGGUGGUAAAUUUCAUCUAAAGCUAAAUACCGGCCAGAGACCGAUAGCGCACAAGUAGAGUGAUCGAAAGAUGAAAAGCACUUUGGAAAGAGAGUUAAAAAGUACGUGAAAUUGUUGAAAGGGAAGCGCUUGCGACCAGACCUGUACGUGGAUGCUCAGCGGGGGUUCUCCCCCGUGCACUCGUCCACGAUCAGGCCAGCAUCGGUUUCGACGUGCCGGAUAAAGGCCCAAGGAAUGUGGCUCCUCUCGGGGAGUGUUAUAGCCUGGGUGCAAUACGGCCAGUUGGGACCGAGGACCGCGCUUCGGCUAGGAUGCUGGCGUAAUGGUCGUAAGCGACCCGUCUUGAAACACGGACCAAGGAGUCUAACAUUUAUGCGAGUGUUUGGGUGUCAAACCCAUACGCGCAAUGAAAGUGAACGGAGGUGGGAGCCCUUAAGGGUGCACCAUCGACCGAUCCAGAAGUUUACGGAUGGAUUUGAGUAUGAGCAUAACUGUUGGGACCCGAAAGAUGGUGAACUAUGCCUGAAUAGGGUGAAGCCAGAGGAAACUCUGGUGGAGGCUCGCUGCGGUUCUGACGUGCAAAUCGAUCGUCGAAUUUGGGUAUAGGGGUAAGCUUUCCCCGGAACCCUCCCCUUAAGAUAUUAUACUAACGUUUACGCAGGCGAAAGACUAAUCGAACCAUCUAGUAGCUGGUUCCUGCCGAAGUUUCCCUCAGGAUAGCAGUAACGUUUUCAGUUUUAUGAGGUAAAG
Molecule: ribosomal RNA, 1048 nt
Filed under: Thamnolecania brialmontii
Lineage: Eukaryota; Fungi; Ascomycota; Lecanoromycetes; Lecanorales; Ramalinaceae
Description: LSU rRNA
Rfam family: Eukaryotic large subunit ribosomal RNA
Source: RNAcentral